UGCCAGCCGCCGCGGUAAUACAGAGGGUGCAAGCGUUGUCCGGAUUUAUUGGGCGUAAAGAGUUUGUAGGCGGCUAAUCAAGUCUGAAGUGAAAGAAUGGGGCUUAACCCCAUCCCCGCUUCGGAAACUGUUUAGCUAGAGAAUGUUAGGGGCAAGUGGAAUUUCCAGUGUAGCGGUGAAAUGCGUAGAUAUUGGAAGGAACACCAGAGGCGAAGGCGACUUGCUGGGACAUUUCUGACGCUGAGAAACGAAAGCUAGGGUAGCGAAUGGGAUUAGAUA
Molecule: ribosomal RNA, 279 nt
Filed under: uncultured bacterium
Lineage: Bacteria
Description: partial 16S ribosomal RNA
Rfam family: Bacterial small subunit ribosomal RNA
Source: RNAcentral